GACGAACGCUGGCGGCGUGGAUUAGGCAUGCAAGUCGAACGGUAUCAUCCUUUCGGGGGUGAGAGAGUGGCGAACUGGUGAGUAACACGUAGGUUAUCUACCCUCAAGACGGGGACAACCCAGGGAAACUUGGGCGUAAUACCGGAUGUGAGCAACUUUUAGUUGUUUGAAAGGUGGCGUAAGCUGUCGCUUGGGGAUGAGCCUGCGUCCUAUUAGUUAGUUGGUGAGGUAACGGCUCACCUAGGCAAUGAUAGGUAGGCGGCCUUAACGGGUGGUCGCCCACACUGGGAUUGAGAUACGGCCCAGACUCCUACGGGAGGCAGCAGUCGAGAAUAGUCUACAAUGGUCGGAAGACUGAUAGUGCGACGCCGCGUGAACGAUGAAUCCCUUCGGGGUGUAAAGUUCUUUUAUAUGUGAGCAGUGCUUCUUAUAUUAACAGUAUGGGGAGAGAGAUAUUAGCAUAUGAAUAAGCAACGGCUAACUCCGUGCCAGCAGCCGCGGUAAACUCG
Molecule: ribosomal RNA, 509 nt
Filed under: uncultured bacterium
Lineage: Bacteria
Description: bacterial SSU rRNA
Rfam family: Bacterial small subunit ribosomal RNA
Source: RNAcentral